GAGGGUUUGAUUGAUUUGCAUAAGGAUGAAGAGGUCUCUGAGAAAGUUGCGAGUUCUGGCAGUAGAGAAGCAAGAGCAUGACCGAAGCAACAUUCUGCCUUUGUCCCAGUUGAAGGAGCUGGCUAUGGCUACCCAGGACAUGCAAGACAUGAGAGACUGCUACGAUAGUUUGCUUUCCGCGGCAGCAGCUGCAGCCAACUGUGCUUAUGAAUUCUCAGAGUCCUUGACAGAAUUGGGGUCUUGUCUUCUUGAGAAAACCGCCUUAAAUGACGAUGAAGAAAGCGGAAAAGUUCUGCUAAUGCUGGGUAAAAUGCAGUUUCAAAUCCGGGAGCUCAUUGAUAACUAUCGUUCUCAUAUAUCCCAGACAAUUACCAUUCCAUCAGAGUCUCUUCUCAAUGAACUUGGAAUUGUUGAGGAGAUGAAGCAGCAUUGUGAUGAAAAAAGAGAAGUAUAUGAGUACAUGUUAACAAGAUAUAGAGAAAGAGGUAGGUCUAGAAGUGGAAAAGCAGAGAGUUUUUCCUUGCAGCAGUUGCAAACUGCUCGUGAUGAAUAUGAUGACGAGGCUACAUUAUUUGUUUUCCGCUUGAAAUCUCUGAAGCACGGACAAUCAUGGAGUCUUCUAACACAGGCAGCACGUCACCAUGCAGCUCAGUUGUGUUUCUUCAAGAAAGCAGUUAAGUCUCUUGAGACAGUAGAGCCACAUGUGAAAUCAGUAUCUGAACAGCAACACAUUGAUUACCACUUCAUUGGCCUUGAAGGGGAGGAUGAGGAUGAAGGUGAUGAUUUAGAACAUGAUGAUGAUGGUUACGAUGAGAAUGAUGAUGGGGAGCUGAGUUUUGACUAUGGACAAAAUGAACACGUGCAAGACAUUUCUAUGUCACGAAACUCGACGAAGGAAUACUUAAAUAGGCUUCCUAGGCAUUCAUUCUCCUUCAGGGUUAGGACAGGGAGCCAAUCUGCCCCACUUUUUGCUGAUAGGAAACCUGAUUCUAAUGAAAAGCUGAGUAAGAUGGGGCCAUCUUUAUCACGGAAGUUCAAUUCAUAUGUACUACCCACACCUGUUGAUGCAAAGAGUUCAAUAUCUUCAAGGUCAAGUAAUCAAGUACCUUCCAAAUUGAAGACAAAUAUAGAUGAACCAACAAAGAAUUUGUGGCAUUCAUCCCCACUGGAAAAAAAGAAAUACGAAAAAGGUCUUGGAGAUGAGGGAUUUUCUGGUCCUAAUGUUAGAAAUGCAGAGUCUGUGCUCAAGGAGAGUAACGGCAAUGCUGCCUCCGCAAGAUUGCCCCCUCCUUUGAUUGGUGGGUUUUUUUUACCCUCAAAUCAUAAUUUUGUUGCUGCUUACUCAAAAAAGAUUAAAAGACAUGCCUUUUCUGGUCCAUUGGCGAGUAAUCCAUGGCCAACCAAGCCUGUCUCAAUAGAAAGUGUUCAAUUGUUUUCUGGACCUUUUUUGCGGACUCCAAUUCCACAGCAUCCAUCAUCAUCAUCACCAAAAGUAUCUCCUAGUUCUUCUCCUACUCUUACAUCUUCUCCUAAAAUAAGUGAGCUUCAUGAACUUCCGAGGCCUCCAACCAGUUCCCCAUCCAAUUCAAGGCUUUCAGGAUUGGUGGGUCAUUCAGGUCCUUUGGUGUCCAGAGGUCAAAAGAUUUCUGCUGCAAAUGAUUUUGUUAUAUCAAAUGCAGUGUCUGUCUCUCCAUUGCCAGUGACUCGUCAGGCCAUGGCUCGAAGUUUCUCCAUACCUUCUAGUGGUGCUAAAGUUGCAGCAAUACAUGGAUCAAGGCUACUGGAAGACCCUCAUAGAUCAACUUUAUCUGAGGAUAUUGCUUCUCCUCCCCUGAAACCAAUUGCUUUACCUAGUAGUUGGCCGUCAUCAGAUGGCUCUAAGACCGUUGCUCAGGCUGUUUAGACUCGAGGUAAUACCCGUAGGAACUCGCUUGAUAUGUAUUUCGCAUCAUUUGCUUAGUUACAUGUCGAGUAGGUGGGGGCGUGGGGCUUCUACUCUGAAUUGGAGGGAACAUACAUGCUUAUAUUAAUAAUAAUAUCCAAUGAACCCAGGUACGGUACUUGUGCAGGUUAAUUCCACUCGAGUGAGAAGAUAGCUCUAUUUACGGCGUUGCAAGGGUCAAGUUUUGCUUCUCAUAGUUUGGUACAGUUCAAAACUGUAAAUAUUCCUUUUAUAAUUCUUUUAUCAAUUCGUUUUUUCUAAAGUUAUUUCAGAUAAUUUGUUUAAUAUUCACCGUU
RNA transcript from Gastrolobium bilobum, 2238 nucleotides. RefSeq lists it as uncharacterized. Lineage: Eukaryota; Viridiplantae; Streptophyta; Magnoliopsida; Fabales; Fabaceae. The transcript has 11 exons. The record is from RefSeq and is a predicted model, not a curated record.